This 379-nucleotide ribosomal RNA is filed under the name uncultured cyanobacterium. Its description in RNAcentral is "bacterial SSU rRNA". It matches the Rfam family "Bacterial small subunit ribosomal RNA", at positions 376 to 770 of the family's 1533-position model. The record is from RNAcentral. Lineage: Bacteria; Bacillati; Cyanobacteriota.
CGAAAGCCUGACGGAGCCAGACCGCGUGAGGGAAGAAAGUCUUUGGAUCGUAAACCUCUUUUCUCAGGGAAGAAGAUCUGACGGUACCUGAGGAAUCAGCCUCGGCUAACUCCGUGCCAGCAGCCGCGGUAAUACGGAGGAGGCAAGCGUUAUUCGGAAUUAUUGGGCGUAAAGCGUCCGCAGGGGGCUCAUCAAGUCUGCUGUCAAAGGUCGGAGCUCAACUCCGGUUCGGCAGUGGAAACUGGUGGGCUAGAGGGCGACAGGGGUAGAGGGAAUUCCCAGUGUAGCGGUGAAAUGCGUAGAGAUUGGGAAGAACACCGGUGGCGAAAGCGCUCUACUGGGUCGCACCUGACCCUCAGGGACGAAAGCUAAGGUAGCG